RNAcentral lists this ribosomal RNA (265 nucleotides) under bacterium YSPR. RNAcentral's name for it is "partial 16S ribosomal RNA". It matches the Rfam family "Bacterial small subunit ribosomal RNA", at positions 1158 to 1422 of the family's 1533-position model. The record is from RNAcentral.
ACAAACCGGAGGAAGGUGGGGAUGACGUCAAGUCCUCAUGGCCCUUAUGGGUAGGGCUUCACACGUCAUACAAUGGUCGGUACAGAGGGUUGCCAAGCCGCGAGGUGGAGCCAAUCCCUUAAAGCCGAUCGUAGUCCGGAUCGUAGUCUGCAACUCGACUACGUGAAGUCGGAAUCGCUAGUAAUCGCAGAUCAGCAUGCUGCGGUGAAUACGUUCCCGGGUCUUGUACACACCGCCCGUCACACCAUGGGAGUGGGUUUCACCA